This 74-nucleotide transfer RNA is filed under the name Micromonospora yangpuensis. RNAcentral describes it as "tRNA-Gly". The record is from RNAcentral. Lineage: Bacteria; Bacillati; Actinomycetota; Actinomycetes; Micromonosporales; Micromonosporaceae.
CGGGCGGUGGGCAGGCUUCGGCCGCCGGUGCCGCCGGUGCCGCCGGUGCCGCCGGUGCCGCCGGUGCCGCCGGU